Molecule: ribosomal RNA, 388 nt
Filed under: uncultured bacterium
Lineage: Bacteria
Description: bacterial SSU rRNA
Rfam family: Bacterial small subunit ribosomal RNA
Source: RNAcentral
GACGAACGCUGGCGGCGUGCUUAACACAUGCAAGUCGAGCGGUAAGGCCCUUUCGGGGGUACACGAGCGGCGAACGGGUGAGUAACACGUGGGUGACCUGCCCUCAGCUCUGGGAUAAGCCUGGGAAACCGGGUCUAAUACUGGAUAUGACUCCAUGACGCAUGUUGUGGGGUGGAAAGCCUUGUGCGGCUGAGGAUGGGCCCGCGGCCUAUCAGCUUGUUGGUGGGGUGAGGCCUACCAAAGGCGACGACGGGUAGCCGGCCUGAGAGGGCGACCGGCCACACUGGGACUGAGACACGGCCCAGACUCCUACGGGAGGCAGCAGUGGGGAAUCUUGCGCAAUGGGCGAAAGCCUGACGCAGCGACGCCGCGUGAGGGAUGACGGCCU